UACGGGGGGGGCAAGCGUUGUUCGGAAUUACUGGGCGUAAAGGGCUCGUAGGCGGCCAACUAAGUCAGACGUGAAAUCCCUCGGCUUAACCGGGGAACUGCGUCUGAUACUGGAUGGCUUGAGAUUGGGAGAGGGAUGCGGAAUUCCAGGUGUAGCGGUGAAAUGCGUAGAUAUCUGGAGGAACACCGGUGGCGAAGGCGGCAUCCCGGACCGGCAUUGACGCUGAGGCGCGAAAGCCAGGGGAGCAAACGGG
This 253-nucleotide ribosomal RNA is filed under the name uncultured bacterium. RNAcentral describes it as "partial 16S ribosomal RNA". It matches the Rfam family "Bacterial small subunit ribosomal RNA", at positions 524 to 776 of the family's 1533-position model. The record is from RNAcentral.